This 116-nucleotide ribosomal RNA is filed under the name Sinocyclocheilus anshuiensis. Lineage: Eukaryota; Metazoa; Chordata; Actinopteri; Cypriniformes; Cyprinidae. The record is from RNAcentral.
UAAGACUGCAUAUCACCCUGCAGCCCAAGACUGGUUGCCCACUGAAGCUAAGCAGGGUUGAGACUGGUCAGUACCUGGAUGGGAGGCCUCCUGGGAAAACUAGGUUGCUGUUGGAA